UAAUGAAAUCCUCCUCGGCAAGGCUCUGAUGGGCGGGAUGAGGGAACGAGUUGAGUUAGCAACAAAAUUUGCUGUAAGUUUUGCAGAAGGAAAAAUGCAAGUGCGCGGAGAGCCAGCCUAUGUAAGGGCAGCAUGCGAGGCUAGCUUAAAGCGACUUGAUGUUGACUGCAUAGACUUGUACUACCAGCACCGGAUUGAUACACGCGUGCCCAUUGAAGUAACGGUUGGAGAACUUAAGAAGCUGGUUGAAGAGGGUAAAAUUAAA
RNAcentral lists this unclassified non-coding RNA (265 nucleotides) under Hevea brasiliensis (rubber tree). The record is from RNAcentral. Lineage: Eukaryota; Viridiplantae; Streptophyta; Magnoliopsida; Malpighiales; Euphorbiaceae.